UAUGGAAUUGUGUCCGAGCCGCGGUAAUACGGAGGAUGCGAGCGUUAUCCGGAUUUAUUGGGUUUCAAGGGAGCGUAGACGGGUUUUUAAGUCAGCUGUGAAAGUUUGGGGCUCAACCUUAAAAUUGCAGUUGAAACUGGAGACCUUGAGUACGGUUGAGGCAGGCGGAAUUCGUGGUGUAGCGGUGAAAUGCUUAGAUAUCACGAAGAACCCCGAUUGCGAAGGCAGCCUGCUAAGCCGCCACUGACGUUGAGGCUCGAAAGUGCGGGUAUCAAACAGG
RNAcentral lists this ribosomal RNA (280 nucleotides) under Phocaeicola coprophilus DSM 18228 = JCM 13818. Its description in RNAcentral is "partial 16S ribosomal RNA". It matches the Rfam family "Bacterial small subunit ribosomal RNA", at positions 494 to 776 of the family's 1533-position model. The record is from RNAcentral. Lineage: Bacteria; Pseudomonadati; Bacteroidota; Bacteroidia; Bacteroidales; Bacteroidaceae.